RNAcentral lists this ribosomal RNA (463 nucleotides) under uncultured bacterium. Its description in RNAcentral is "bacterial SSU rRNA". It matches the Rfam family "Bacterial small subunit ribosomal RNA", at positions 29 to 526 of the family's 1533-position model. The record is from RNAcentral.
AACGAACGUUGGCGGCAUGGAUUAGGCAUGCAAGUCGGGGGAAUCCCGUAAGGGGGAACCGGCGUAAGGGGCAGUAAGGCAUGGGUACCUACCCGGGGGUUCGGGAUAGCCAUCAGAGAUGGUGGGUAAUACCGGAUGACCUCGUGAGAGCAAAGAUUCAUCGCCCCCGGAGGGGCCCAUGUGAUAUUAGCUAGUUGGUGGGGUAACGGCCCACCAAGGCGAAGAUGUCUAGCGGGUGUGAGAGCACGACCCGCGCCACUCGCACUGAGACACUGGCGAGACACCUACGGGUGGCUGCAGUCGAGGAUCUUCGGCAAUGGGGGCAACCCUGACCGAGCGAUGCCGCGUGCGCGAUGAAGGCCUUCGGGUUGUAAAGCGCUUUAGUGGGGGAGAAAAGCCGAAAGGUGUGAUCUAUCCCAAAAAUAAGCUCGGGCUAAGUUCGUGCCAGCCGCCGCCGUAAUAC